AUUGAACGCUGGCGGCAUGCUUUACACAUGCAAGUCGAACGGUAACAGGCCGCAAGGUGCUGACGAGUGGCGAACGGGUGAGUAAUGCAUCGGAACGUGCCCAGUCGUGGGGGAUAACUACUCGAAAGAGUAGCUAAUACCGCAUACGAUCUAUGGAUGAAAGCGGGGGACCGUAAGGCCUCGCGCGAUUGGAGCGGCCGAUGUCAGAUUAGGUAGUCGGUGGGGUAAAGGCUCACCAAGCCAACGAUCUGUAGCUGGUCUGAGAGGACGACCAGCCACACUGGGACUGAGACACGGCCCAGACUCCUACGGGAGGCAGCAGUGGGGAAUUUUGGACAAUGGGCGCAAGCCUGAUCCAGCAAUGCCGCGUGCAGGAAGAAGGCCUUCGGGUUGUAAACUGCUUUUGUACGGAACGAAACGGCUCUGGUUAAUACCCGGGGCUAAUGACGGUACCGUAAGAAUAAGCACCGGCUAACUACGUG
This 482-nucleotide ribosomal RNA is filed under the name uncultured bacterium. RNAcentral describes it as "partial 16S ribosomal RNA". It matches the Rfam family "Bacterial small subunit ribosomal RNA", at positions 30 to 507 of the family's 1533-position model. The record is from RNAcentral.